This 84-nucleotide transfer RNA is filed under the name Kiritimatiellia bacterium. RNAcentral describes it as "Kiritimatiellae bacterium (wastewater metagenome) tRNA-Leu". It matches the Rfam family "tRNA". Rfam says of the family: Transfer RNA (tRNA) molecules are approximately 80 nucleotides in length. Their secondary structure includes four short double-helical elements and three loops (D, anti-codon, and T loops). Lineage: Bacteria; Pseudomonadati; Kiritimatiellota; Kiritimatiellia. The record is from RNAcentral.
GCUCGGGUGGUGGAAUGGCAGACACGCAUGUUUGAGGUGCAUGUGCCGAAAGGCGUGGGGGUUCGACUCCCCCCCCGAGCACCA